RNAcentral lists this long non-coding RNA (24927 nucleotides) under Theobroma cacao (cacao). RNAcentral describes it as "long non-coding RNA (TCAC_LNC002770)". Lineage: Eukaryota; Viridiplantae; Streptophyta; Magnoliopsida; Malvales; Malvaceae. The record is from RNAcentral.
AUAGCAUUCCUAGUUGGUUUUGGAAUUCACCCCUUCAAGUUCAAUAUUUCAAUCUUUCUCACAACCAAAUCCAUGGGCAGAUUCCUGAUAUACCUAGGACUGUAUUUGUAGAUUCCAUUAUUGACCUUAGUUUUAAUAAUUUUAGUGGUCCAUUACCAAGUUCCAAGCCCUUCAAUCACCAAGUUCCAAGAUAUAACAUUAUUCCCUGGCAUCUCCUCAAACACCUUCAACCCUUCCUCCAACAUUCCAUUCAUAAAAUACCCUCCAAGCAUUGCAUUCCACGUCACCACAUCAUGACCAUGCAUGAGCCCAGAUAUCACAGUGGUAUACGUAAAAAUAUCACGUUCUGGCAUUUGAUGGAAUAAGGCCGAGGCUUUACUUAAAAACCCAUUGAGAAAAUACCCACCAAUCAUUGAAUUCCAGGUGACAACGUUUUUUGCGAGGCAUUUUGUCAAACAGGUUCUGGGCUUGUUGGACAAGCCCAUUUUUCCUGAAAUUUGAGAUUUUGGAGCUGUGGGGUUUAAGGUUGGAGACUGUUGUGGAUGUUUGGUUGCUUUGAACGAAUGUUGGGGCCGAAAAAGAGAGGUGCCUGGCGACUUUUAUAGGAAAAGUUGGGUUUAGUUUAGGAAUGAACAUGCCCAAACCCAGAGAGCAAGAGAAAGGUGAACAAGACGGAUAAAAAAGAAAAGAGUGUGCAAUAUAAAAGAAAAGGGUUUAGUUCACAAUCGUACUCGUGUCAAUCAGUAAUUGGUCAGCAUAUAUAUUUGCAAAACAAACAACUGAACCUCAGGUUGAAUAUAUUAAAUAACUAGGCAACACCCUCAAGGAUUGUUUGGUACUAUUUUUUACAAGAUAAAACCAAGUUUAUGAUAUUUCAUUUAUUAUAAAUCGUCAUUUUUUAUAUUUAAAAUAUGUUUGGUUUCAUAUUUUUUUAGGCAAAGUUAUGUUUCCAUCAUUAUUUUAAAAUAUUAAUAUAUAUAAUAAUGAUUAAAUAUACAAAUAAGCUCUCAAAUUAUAUUAAGAAAGUUAAUUUAGCUUAUAUCAUUUUAUUACAUUCAAAUAAACCAUUGAAUUCUUAUGUUAAGUUAAAAUAAGCCUCCUUCACUAAUAGGUGACUAGUCAACAGUAUAGUCUAUAAAUUUUUAUACCACGUCAUCUGCCACGUGACAUGUUGAUGUGUCAUCUUGAUGAUAUCAAUGUCACGUUGCAUCAAAAAUUGUAGACUAAGAAUUGAGUUUUUUCCUUUUUAUCCAUCCAAAUAUCCAAAAAUGAUUAGUUAGGGAUUUGGAACAAAAAACUAAAAAAAAAAAGUAAUUGCUUUAAACGAUUACAAUCGUUUUUUAAUUAAUUAUCAUUUUCUUAAUUAAAACCAUCCUUCCUAACAAAAAAAUCUAAUCCAACUUUUUCAGUUCGAUUAAAACUAUUGUUGUUUGAUUGAAAAUUGGUAUAUAGAAAUUCAAGAAUACUCAAAUACGAUUUUAAGAAGAAGAAGAAGUCAAUAAUAGAUUCUCUCUUCACAUCUUUCAUAGUUUUAAGAAAUUCAAAACUACCAAAAGAACAAUUUUUAGAGAAGGAAUAGGAAUUGCAGAUAGAGAAAGGACAUUCUGACUAUAAGAGACAUUGGGUUUAAGGAAUGUUGAAAAAAGUGAAUAUUUCUUUGUGGACAACAGUGACUUUAAUCGAACUAGAAAAGUUGGAUUAGGUUUUUCUGUUAAAAACUAGGGCUUCAAUUAAGAUGGUUAUUAGUUAAUAAUAAUGAUAAUCAAUUUGAAGCAAUUAGUUUUUUUUUUAAUUUUUUGUUUCAAAUCCCUAACUAAUAAUUUUUGGAUAUUUAUAUACAUAAAAGGGAAAAAACCCAAUUCUUAGUUAAUAAUUUUUUAUAUCAUGUCAUCUGUCAUGUGAUAUUAAUGUCAUCAAAAUGACACAUUAAUAUGCUACGUGGUAGAUGACGUGGCAUAAAAAAUUACUAAUAGUAACAUUGACUAACUUCCUUAAUUAAUAGUUAGUGAAAGAGGUUUAUUUAACCCAAAAUAAGAGUUCAGGGAUUUAUUUUGACAUAAUAAAAAGAUAAAGAUUAAAUAAACUAUCUUGAUAUAAUUUGAGGAUUUAUUUAAAUAUUUGAUCUAAUAUAUAUAAUUUUGAAAAACUAUAUAUUUACGAAUAACAUGAAUAUCAAGGCAUUGGUAAUUAAUCAACAAUCUAUGUACACAUAAACAAGACCAAGACUUAGUGAAUUGAUAAAAAGAGGCUAACGUGUAGAAAAAGCAGUCCGAGAUAAGACAAACUAAGAAUUUCGCAAGAAAAAUAUAUGUUUUGCAUUGACUUUAUCUUCGUUUGGUAAGCCUGCAUCAUGGAGCUAAAAUGUUGUUGGAAAUUUUAUACCGAUGUUGAAGCUUGAACACUAUCAUUUACUACUGUUUGAUCAAGCCUAAAAGGCUUGGGUGUGCACCAAAAAGGGGUUUAGAAUUGUAAAAAGAAAAACAAACUAAUAAAGGUUUAGAACAGACAAAGCAUUAAAGCAUUUGAAAUUGAAAGCAAACGGUUGGAAAAUAGAGUAAUUAAGCAAUAACAUCAUAAUCUCCUGCUCUGUAGCUAUAUUGUUAAGUGACAGUUCAAACUGUUUUGCUUUUCAAAAGUCUCUCUUGUGCAAAAUGUUUUAGGCGUGACUGAUGGGUUAGACUUUUAAGGUGGAAUUUGAGAUUUUCACAUCCUCACAUUUUGAGAAUGUAAAAUCCGAGAAUACCCAACUAUAAUUUUGAGAAGAGGACGUCAACAAUAGUUUCUCGCUCUACAUCUUUCAUAGUUUUUGAAAUUUAAAACUACUUAAAAAAUAAUUUUAAAAAGAAAAAUAAGAAUUGCAGAUAUAGAGAAGACAUUCUGACUAUAAGGUACAUUGGUUUAGAGAAUGUAGAGAAAUACCAGAAUACCUAAAUACAAUUUUGAGGAUAAAAGUCAAUAAUAGAUUCUCUCUCUACAUCUUUCACAGUUUUAAAAAAUUCAAGACUAUCCAAAGAAUAAUUUUAGAAAAGGAAUAUGUAUUGCAAACAGGGAGAGGAUAUUCUGACUAUAAGAUAUGUUGGGUCGAGAGAAUGUUGAAGAAAGUGAAUAUUUCUUUGUGAGCACCAAUGGCUUGAAUCGAACCAAAAAGGUUGGAAUAUAUUUUUUUGUUAGGAUUGAUGACUCAAAUUAAGAAGAUGGUAAUUAGUUAAAAAAUAUUGAUAACCUGAUUGAAGCAAUUAGUUUUUUUUUUAAUUUUUUGUUUCAGAUUUCUAAUUAAUAAUUUUUUGACAUUUGGAUAGGUAAAAGAGAAAAAACUCAAUUCUUAAUAAGUAAUUUUUUAUUUCAUUUCAUCUGUCACAUGACAUUGACGUCAACAAAAUGACACAUCAAUAUGAUUAAAUUGACUUUCUUGAUAUAAUUUGAAGACUUUUUUAGAUAUUUAAUCUAAUAUAAUUUUAGAAGACUAUAUGUUUACGAAUAACUUGAACAUCAAGGCAUUGAUAAUUAAUCAACAAUCUAUGGUCCACGUGAACAAGACCAAGACUUAGAGAAUUGAUAAAAAGAGGCUACCGUGUAGAAAAAGCAGCCCGAGAUAAGACAAACUAAGAAUUUCGCAAGAAAAAUAUAUGUUUUGCGUUGACUUUGUCUUCUUUUGGUAAGCCUGCAUCAUGGAGCGAAAAUGUCGUUGGAAAUUUUAUACUGACGUUAAAGCUUGAACACUAUCAUUUAGUACUCUUUGAUCAAGCCUAAAAACCUUGGGUGUGUACCAGAAAAGGUUUUAGAAUUGUAAAAAGAAAGACAAACUAGUAAAGGUUAAGAAGAGACAAAGCAUUCAAGCAUUUGAAAUUUAAAGCAAAAGGUUGGAAAAUAGAGUAAUUAAGCAAUAACAUCACAAUCUCCUGCUCUGUAGCUAUAUUGUUAAGUGACAGUUCAAACUGUUUUGCUUUUCAAAAGUCUCUCUUGUGGAAAAUGCUGUCCGCUACCCCAAAAUAAAAGUCAAGAGUCGUCAAAAAGUAUAUAAAUAAAUAAAUAAAUAAAGGUUAAGAAGGGACAAAGCAUUUUACUCAACAUGUUCGACUUGUUAAAAAAGUGUCUCUAGUGGAAAAUCUUUUAGGCCUGGCCGGUGGAUUUGGUGGGUUACAUUUAUAAUGUUGAAUUUGAGAUUUUCCAUAUUCUCACAAUUUAUAGGAAUUUAACUUUAUUAAUUCUAAAUUGACAAUAACCCUUUUUUUUAUGAAUACUGAUUUGAUGAAAUGCAUGGAAAAAUUGCAAAUGAAUUUUAAGUCAUUUGUUUGGUAUUAUCUUUUACAAGCAAAAUCAAACUUGAUAUCCCUUUUUUUUUUUUGGGUAAUUCAUUGGUGGUAAUUUAUUAUUUUCUAUAGGUAUAAUAUUUAAAAAAAUGUCUAAACUAUUUAAGAAAAUUUAAAUAAGUCUUUAUAGUUUUAUUGUGUUCAAUCAAAUACUUAUAUUUUUUUUAAACCAAAUAAGUUUUUAUAUUUUAUUUUUUAAAUCAAAUAAGCUUUUAUGAUUAAUGAUGGAUUUAAUAAAAAAAUAAAAAAAUUUUGAAUAUAGUUCAAAGGCUUGUUUUAGCAUUAUGCUUUUUUUCAUAUUUAAAUCAUCUGCCAUCUCAUAUUUGGAGUCAUUGUUUAAUAUUAUCUUUUAUAAGCGAAACCAAAAUUGAUAUCCUUUUCGCAUUUUUUGUUUGUUAUAAUCUUGACUUUCUUUUCAAAAUGAAUUCAUGUAUAUGAUCUUAUAUUUCUUUUUUUGGUGAAAUUAUAUUUUGAUCACUAUUAUAAAAUAUUUUACACUACCAUUCUUGCAUUCAUUGCUUGAAUUGUGAUGAUCAUAUAUAUGAAAUUUCGGAGGUCUAUAUCAAUACUAAUAACGUGAAUAACAAGCAUUGAUAAUUAAUUAACGAUCUACUUUCCACGCUCUACCAAAACACAGGACUCUGAGAAUUGAUUAAGGGGGGACCAAUGUGAAGAAAAAGCAGUCUGAGGUAUGAUAAAUUGUUGUGAUUUCCAGCAGAAAUUCGUAUGUUUUGCACUGACUUUGUCUUCGUGUUAUAAUGCUAUGGUAAGUUUGCAUUAUGGAGCAUGCAAUUAUUCCAAGUUUAAUUGAAGCAAGAAUGUGCUUGGAAAUUUUGCAUUGAUGUUGAGGCUUGAACAGUAUCAUUGACUCUUUGAUCAAGGCUAAAAAGCUUGGGCGUGUCUACCCCAUACUAAGUACAUGAAUAGAGGUUAAGGGACAAAAUAGCAAUCUACCAUCAACUUAUUGCUUCAUCAAUAAAAUUGAAGAGCAAUGAGUACUAUUUUAAUGCUUUUGUUUUUCAGUCUAGUUACUGUCAACAUUAGUUUCAAUGAGGGUUGUAUUGAGAGUGAGAGACAAGCCCUUUUCAUGUUCAAACAGGAUCUCAUAAAUCAUGCAAAUCGGUUGGCUUCUUGGACAGUUGAUAAAGAUUGUUGUGAUUGGGUUGGAGUUGUUUGUGACAAUGUGACUGGCCAUGUGCUUCAACUCCAUCUUACAAAUCCACUAUCUUCUCCGGGAAAUCUUUAUGCCCGUGAUGCUGACUAUGAGGCCUUUGAAAGGUCAAAGCUAAGAGGUAAGAUAAACCCUUCUUUGCUCAUGCUGAAGCAUUUGAAUUAUUUGGACUUAAGCAACAAUGCGUUUGAAGGUAUUCCCAUUCCCAAGUUCUUGGGUUCUAUUGAGAGUUUAAGAUAUCUUAAUCUCUCUCACGCUGGAUUUAAAGGAUUAGUUCCUCAUCAACUCGGAAAUCUAUCGAGUUUACAGAUUCUUAAUCUUGCCGAUGAUGAAGGUUAUCUCUAUGUUGCCAAUCUCCAAUGGUUGUCUGGUCUUUCCUCGUUAGAACACCUUGAUUUGAGUAAUGUGAGCCUUAUAGAGGUUUCCAAUUGGUUGAAAGUGGUAAAUACACUUCCUUCCUUGCAGGAACUAUAUUUAUCAGGCUGUCAACUUCCUCAGGUUCCUCCACCCGCAAAUCUUAAUCUGUCAUCUCUUACAAUUCUCGAUCUUUCUUCCAAUUCUCUUGAAAAUACCUUGGUCGACUUUAGCUGGAUAUUUCAGCUCAAGUCCCUAGUUUCCCUUGAUCUGAGUGGUAAUAAUUUCCAAGGAUGUAUAUUUGAUGGCCUUGAAAACAUGACUUCUCUUACGCACCUUGAUCUUUCAGAUAACUCUUUUAAUUCUUCAAUACCUGACUGGUUGUAUAAUCUUAACUCUCUUCAAUUUCUUAGCCUUAGAUUUAACUACUUGCAAGGUUUAAUUUCAAGUGCCGUAGGAAACAUGAGUUCUGCCAUUAGCCUUGACUUCUCAGGGAAUGAACUUGAAGGAAAGAUUCCAAGAUCAAUGGGAAAUCUUUGUAACUUAAAAUCAAUUGAUUAUUCAGGUGUGAAUUUAAGUCAAGAUAUAUCUGACAUUUUAGAAAGUUUAUCGGGAUGUGUUUCUAAACAACUUGUUUUCUUGGGUUUAAGUGGGUGUCAACUUUCUGGUCAAUUAAGUAACCGACUUGUGAACUUUAAGAAUUUGAAAGAACUUUAUUUGUUUAAUAACUCAAUCUCGGGUCCGAUUCCGUUGUCCAUAGGACAACUUUCGUCCUUGAGCGUUUUAUUUCUUGGUCGGAACAAAUUAACUGGCCAACUUCCCGAGUCAGUUGGACGACUUGCAAAUUUGGAAAUAUUUUCUUUUUCUCAUAAUUUAUUAAGCGGGGUUGUUUCAGAAAUUCACUUUGACAAUCUUACAAAAUUGAAACUGUUAUUGGCUUCUGGGACCCCACUUGUUUUAAAAGUCCGUCCUAAUUGGAUUCCUCCUUUUCAACUCACAACUUUGAAAUUAAGAUAUUGGCAUGUAGGUCGGCAGUUUCCUCUGUGGCUUCAUUCACAAAAAUAUUUAAGAUAUGUAGAUAUCUCUAACUCAGGAAUUUCGGAUAGCAUUCCUAGUUGGGUUUGGAAUUCACCCUUCCAAAUUUAUUAUUUGAAUCUCUCUCACAACCAAAUCCAUGGGCAGAUUCCUGAUAUACCUAGGACUGCAUUUGUUGAUUCUGUCAUUGACCUUAGUUUUAAUAGUUUUAGUGGUCCAUUACCUCAAGUCUCUUCCAACGUGUCUUUUCUAGACCUCUCCAAUAAUCUUUUGUUAGGAUCGCUCUUCCACCUUUUGUGUUAUAAGUUGAAGGAGACCAUGAGAAUCAAAAUUCUUAAUCUUGGUGAAAAUUUUUUGUCUGGGGAGAUUCCAGAUUGUUGGAUGAAUUGGCAAAACUUAAGGAUCUUAAAAUUAGAUAACAACAGUCUUACCGGAAGAAUACCUAACUCUAUAGGAAUUUUACAGUCCCUUCAAUUAUUGCAUCUUAAUGGAAACCACCUCUCCGGAGAAAUUCCAUUGUCACUGAAAAAUUGCACAAAUUUGAUGCUACUUGAUUUUGAUGACAAUGAAUUCCAUGGGCACAUCCCUAAAUGGCUAGGCCAUGGCUUUCCAAAGCUAAAAGUCUUGAUCCUUCGUUCAAACAAGUUUUCAGGGUACAUACCAGAUCAAUUGUGCGUUCUGGAUUCUCUCCAAGUCUUGGACCUUUCUUAUAAUGAUCUCUUCGGAAGUUUACCAAGAUGUUUAAGUAACUUUAGUGCCAUGGUAGAAACCAGCGGUACUACGGAAACUUAUACAUCUCUUGCUCCGUUAAUUGUGAUGAAAGGUCAAAUCCUAGACUAUCAAAUUCUUUCUCGCAUUUUUGUUGCAUCAAUUGUGAUGAAAGGUCAAAUGCUAGAGUAUAGCACAACUCUUGACUUGGUCAGAUGCAUAGAUUUCUCUAACAACAAUUUAUCAGGAGAAAUCCCCGUGGAAGUAACAAACUUAUUAGGAUUGGGGUCAUUGAAUUUAUCAAAUAAUCUUUUGACCGGAACAAUACCGAAAAAUAUUGGCGUGAUGAAGUCACUAGAAUCGGUUGAUUUCUCUCUCAACAAAUUGUCUGGUCCAAUUCCUGAAAGCAUCUCAACGUUGACAUUUUUGAACCACUUGAACUUGUCUUACAACAACUUGAUCGGACAAAUUCCUUCGAGCACUCAGUUACAAAGCUUGGAGCCGUCCAACUUUAUUGGCAACCAACUCUGUGGAUUGCCACUUCCAAACAAGUGUUCUGCGAAUGGUACAAUUCAGAAUACUAGAAAUGGAAGAGGAGAAAAUGAUAAGGGAUUUGUUACGGAUUGGUUCUGGUUCGGCAUGGCAUAUGGAUUUGUGAUUGGCUUUUGGAGUGUGUUUUUGCCUUUGGUGAUUGAUAGGCAACGGUGGAGGUUCAUAUAUGCACUCUUCACUUUUCAAAAAAAUUUGGGAAAUCGAUAACUUUGUAAGUACAUGUCUCUGGUUAAUUUCUAUUUAUGUUUACCACGUAACGAUUUAAAUGAACAAGUUAAUUUCAUAUAUAAUUGAAAAUUAUUAAUUUCUUUAUUACAUGUUUAUUGCUCUACUUACAGAAGUUAAAGAGUUAUGGUAAAUUUAGUUUGCACAAUCACUUGUUUUAACAGAUGAAUAUUUGUUCUUUCUUUUGAACUUCUCAUGCCAACGCAGAGUUCAACAAAGUUAUGUAGUGUUCUUCAACUCUGACGACCCACAUCUGGAGGGCAGACUCUUGUGCUAGGGAACUUCUUGUUGAAGUUAAUGCUUGCUUUGCCAAGUGGACCUUGUGACGUGGAAAUCCACUUGGACCUCAUGCGCCACAGUGCAUGUUUUUGCUGGUUUGAAGACUCAACGUGGUCGUAUGCAUGGGAUCCAUUUCAUGGUGCUUUACACUUGUUAAUCUCCAAAGAACAAGUGUUUUUAUGUGAAUCUUCUGAUGUAAUUGCUUGUUUAAGUUCUGUUUGUAAUAUAGUGUGUGUAAGCUGUUUUUAAGUCUCUGUUUUAGUGCUCCAUAACAGAGCACAUGUUGAAUAAAAGACCAUCUGUUGUUUCCUUAUUUUUCACAACACUUCUGCACCAGGUCACGGAAUGUACAUUUGUACCCCUUUUCAGAUUUUUGCUAAUUUGUUUAGUUGUGAUUUUAAACUUGUAGUAUUUAGUUGUUUGUAGCAAAAGUAAUUUGGCAUUGCUUCUUUGUGUUUGGAAAUGAAAAAUUAUUUAAGAACAAAAAGAAGAGUAACUCAAAAACAUAGGGAGAUGAUGGUGUAAAUCCAUAUAGCAAAGCCAUUUCCGUUGUCAGAUUGACACUCUACAUAUAUAUAUUUUCUUCUAUAGCAUUUUAAAUGUAAAAUAUGCAAAUAAUCAAUUCAGUGAUCGAAUAGAGUUUAGAACAAUCAAUUGUGUACCAAUUAAAUAAGAUAAAUAACUUACUUUGGUGGAGAGCAACUCAAGACUAGCGAAUGGCCCGUAAUUUUACAUCGUUAUCUGAAUUUUCUAUUUUCUAUAUCUUCUUCUUCUAGUCUCUAAUUCUAAAUGAAUCACCAAAUUGGCAGAUAUCAUGUGUGGAUCCUAAGUUUUUAAUAUUGAAAAUCAUUUGGGGAACCAUGCAAUCUCUUAUCCUUAAUUGUCACUGAUUCUCUGAAUUGCUCUGGAUUCUGAAAUUUUGCAGCAUUAUUAUGUGGUUAUUUCUCCAAAAAUGCAUGAGCUUCCUUGACAAGUCCAUUUCUUAUCAACCCCAACAACAUUGAGUUCAAUGAUUUACAACAUUUUGUAGGCAUUUCCAUUGAACAACGCAAAGCAUUUACUAUUCCUAAGCAAUCCAUGAAUCCAAAUCUUUCUCAGGCAUUUCCUGAAACAAUAUUCCCGCCUUUCCAACACACUCAAACCCUACAUAACCCUCUAGCAUCACAUUCCAUGCACGAACAUCCUUGAGAGUGAGAGACAAGCUCUCUUUAUGUUUAAACAAGAUCUCAUAGAUCAAGCAAACUGGUUGGCCUCUUGGACUCUUGACGAAGAUUGUUAUGGGUGGGUUCGAGUUGUUUGUGACAAUGUGACUAACCAUGUGCUUGAGCUCCAUCUUAGAAAUCCAUUAUCUUCCCGGAUUUUUAUGCUAGUGCUGUUGAACUUGAAGCCUUCGAGAGGUCAAAGUUAAGAGGUUAGAUAAACCCUUCUUUACUCAAACUGAAGCAUUUGAGUUUUUUAGACUUAAGCAACAAUGCAUUUGAAGGUAUUCCCAUUCCCCAGUUCUUGGCUUCAAUCGAGAGUUUAAGAUGCCUUAACCUUUCCAGCGCUGGAUUGGAGGAUUAGUUCCUCGUCAACUUGGAAAUAUCUCAAGUUUACAGCAUCUUAAUCUUUAUGCUGGUGAUGAAUAUAAUCUCCAUGUUGCCAAUCUCCAGUGGUUGUCUGGUCUUUCUUCAUUAAAACACCUUGAUUUGGGUAAUGUGAACCUUACAAAGGCUUCCAAUUGGUUAAAAGUGCUAAACACACUCCCUUCCUUGAAGAAAUUAUAUUUGCCAGGUUGUCAACUUCUUCAGGUUCCUCCACCCAUAAAUCUUAAUCGAUCCUCUCUUGCAAUUCUUGACCUUUCUUCAAAUUCUUUUGAGAAUGCCGGCGUGGUCGACUUUAGCUGGAUAUUUCAUCUCAAAUCUCUAGUUUCUCUUGAUUUGAGUCAUAACGAUUUGAAAGGACGAGUAUUUGAUGGCCUAGCAAACAUGACCUCUCUUAGGCACCUUGAUCUUUCAUUUAACGCUUUUAAUUCUUCAAUACCUGAGUGGCUGUAUAAUCUUAACUCUCUUCAAUUUCUUAACCUUGGCUCUAACAGCUUGAAAGGUUUAAUUUCAAGUGCUAUAGGAAAUAUGAGUUCUGCCAUUAGCCUUGACUUUUCAGAGAAUGAACUUGAAGGAGUAAUUCCAAAAUCAAGGGGAAAUCUUUGUAAUUUAAAGUCAAUCGUUUUUACGAGUGUGAACUUGAGUCAAGAUGUAUCUGAUGGUUUAGAAUUUUUGUCAGGAUGUGUUUCUAAACAACUUGAUGUACUGGAUUUAAGUAGGUGUCAACUAUCUGGUCAAUUAACUAAUAGACUUGAAAACUUUAAGAAAUUGAAGAUAUUUUAUUUGAAUAAUAACUUAAUUUCUGGUACCAUUUCAUUGUCCAUAGGAGAACUUUCGUCGUUAAGGGUUUUACGCCUUGGUCAGAACAAAUUGAUAGGGCACCUUCCCGAGUCAUUUGGACAACUUGCAAACUUGGAAAAAUUUUAUAUUUCUAAUAAUUGGUUAAGGGGUGUUGUUUCAGAAAUUCACUUUGGCAAUCUUACAAAAUUGAAAAUCUUAACUGUUUCAGGGAACCCAAUGUUUUUAAAUGUCAGUCUUGAUUGGGUUCCUCCUUUUCAACUGGAAAUCUUAGGAUUGAGAUCUUUGCAUGUAGGGUGGCAGUUUCCUCUGUGGCUUCGUUCACAAAAAUAUUAAUAGCUCUAGAUAUCUCUAACUCAACCAUUUUAGAUAGCAUUCCUAGUUGGUUUUGGAACUCACCCUUUCAAAUUCAAUAUUUCAAUCUCUCUUACAACCAAAUCCAUGGGCAGAUUCCUGAUAUACCUAGGACUGCAUUUGUUGAUUCCAUCAUUGAUCUUAGUUUUAAUCAUUUUAGUGGUCCUUUACCUCAGGUCUCUUCCAACGUGUCUUUUCUAGACCUCUCCAAUAAUUUUUUGUUAGGAUCUCUCUUCCCUCUUUUGUGUUAUAAGUUGAAGGAGACCAUGAGAACCAAAAUUCUUAAUCUUGGUGAAAAUUUUCUAUCCGGGGAGAUUCCAGAUUGUUGGUUGAAUUGGUAAAAUUUGGUGAUCUUAGAUUUAAAUAACAACAAUUUUACAGGAAGAAUACCAAGUUCUACGGGAAUUUUACAUUCUCUUCUAUCAUUGCAUCUUCAAAAAAAUCACCUUUCUGGAGAAAUUCCAUCUUCACUGAAAAAUUGCACAAUUUUGAUGCUACUUGAUUUUGGUGAGAACGAAUUAUAUGGGCACAUCCCAAAAUGGCUAGACCAUAGUUUUCAAAAGCUAAAAGUCCUGAGGCUUCGCUCAAACAAGUUUUCAGGGUACAUACCAGAGCAAUUGUGCGCUGUUGAUUCUCUCCAAGUCUUGGACCUUGCUUAUAAUAAUCUCUUCGGAAGUUAACCAAGAUGUUUAAGUAACUUUAGUGCCAUGGUAAAAGCGAGUGGUUCCAAGGACAUUGAUACAUCUCUUGCUGCAUCAAUUGUGAUGAAAGUUCAAAGGCUUCUCCUUAUAACUAUUUUCCGUACUUUGCUGCAUCAAUUGUAAUGAAAGGACGUCGAAUGCUUGAGUAUAGCACAACUCUUGACUUGGUCAGAAGCAUAGAUUUCUCUAACAACAAUUUAUCAGGAGAGAUCCCCGUGGAAGUAACAAGCUUAUUGGAGUUGCUGUCAUUGAAUUUGUCACAUAAUUUUUUGACCGGACCAAUACCUAAAAAUAUUGGCGAGAUGGAAUUUUUAGAAUCGGUCGAUUCCUCUUUCAACAAAUUGUCUGGUCCAAUUCCCAAAAGCAUAUCAACUUUGACAUUUUUGAACCACUUGAACUUGUCUUACAACAACUUGAUUGGACAAAUUCCUUCAAGCACUCAGUUACAAAGCUUGGAUUCGUCUAGCUGCGUCGGCAACCAACUCUGUGGAUUGCCACUUCCAGACAAGUGUUCCACAAAUGGUGCAAUUCAUGACAUUGAAAAUGAAAGUGGAGAAAGUGACAACGGAUUUGAAACGGAUUGGUUCUGGUGUGGUAUGGCAUAUGGAUUCGUUAUUGGCUUUUGGGGUGUGAUUGGUCUUCUGCUGCUGGGUCCUUUCAACUUUUCAAACAAAUUCAGAAAAUCAAUAACUCUGUAAGUAUAUGUCUCUAAUGAAUUUCCAUAUAUUUAUUUCUCACAAACAUAGAGUAAGUUUUUGCUAUGUAUCAUUUUAAUUGAACAAGUUAAUUUCAUCCACUUACAGAAGUUAAGGGUUAUGGCAAAUUUAGUUUUCACAAUCACCUGUUUAAACAGAUGAACAUUUGUUGUUUCUUUUGAACUUCUCAGUCUAAUGCUUUCUUUGUUUUCUUUAUCUUAUGACAGCUAAAAGGCUCUAUUUGGUUAGUUGUUCAACAAAAUCAUGCAAAGUUCUUCAACUGGGCAGACUCAUAUAUCUAAAACCUUCUGCACCAGAUCAUGGAAUGCAGAUUUGUACCCCUUUGAGAGUUUUACUAAUCAGUUUAGGUGUGAUUUUGUAGCAAAGUAAUUUGGCAUUGUUUCUUUAUUUUUGGAAUUGAAAAAUUAUCUAAGAGCAAAAAGAAGAAUAACUCCAAAAUAGAGAGACACGGUCAGGGGCAAAGCUAACCAAUUUUUGUUGAGGGGUCAAAGGCAAGAGAAUAAAAGUUAAAAAUUUAAAAAACUAAUAUGUUGAACUUAAUCAAUAAUCAAAAUAUUAAUAAUAAAAAAUAAUUUUAUAUAAUAUAUAAAUAAAGAAAAGAGAGACUUACAAUAAUUUUUUAAGAAAGUUGUUUUCGACCAUAUUUCUUGAAUUCAAAUUCAUUAAUUAUUAAUUAUGUACUGAAAAACAUCUAUUUCUUAACAAUUGAGUUUUGGACAUUUUGAAUCGCAUUGCUCUUGCUUAUAAGUUGAAGCAUUGAGGCUUGGUAGUUCAAGUGUAGGAAAAUCAUUUAGACGAUUUACAUAUUUUCUUUUAAAGAAUUUAUCAAUUAUUUUCAACUUACUAAUACUUUAAUCAAAAUUAAAAAAAAUUAAUAUAAUCAACUUUUAAUAUUUUUAUUUUAUUUCUAUUUAAACUUAUAAUACUAAAUAUAAAACUAUAAUCCAUAAAAUAUAAUUAAUUAAAUACGAUAUACAUGAUUAAUAAUUUUUUUAUAUAAUUAGGAUUUUUAAAGACUAUAUAUUCAAAAUAAUUUCCUUUCAUCUAAAUAUAAAACAUAAAACAUAUAAAAAAAGAUAGAUUCAAGAUAAUUUUCUCUUACAUAAUUAGAGUUCAUAAAAAUAGCUACAUUAAUGAAAUUUUUAACAGCAAUGCUACACUACAAUUUAUUUGAAAACUACAUAUAAUUUAUUAAUUUUUAAAGAUUAAAAUUAUAGAAAAUAAAAUCCACUUAAUAAGAAAAAAAUGAUAAGUAAAAGAUAGAACCCAUAUAUAAUAUAAGAAAAAAAGAAUAUGGUUGAUGGUUUGUAGAAAUUUAGAAAAAAAAUCUAUAAAAACUUAAAACAUAUGAACAAAUAGUAUAAACAAAUAUAAAUAAAAAUAAUAACAUAAAUUGAAAGCAGAAAAAAAAUUUAAAGUUGAACAAGACAUGCGGAAUUUUUUUUUAUUCUUUAUUUAUAUUAAUUAUUAAAUAAUAAUUAUUUUGGGGGUAUGAAGAGAUUAUAUUAAAAUUUUUUAAAAUUUUAUAUGUUAUAAAAAAAAUUUAAAAAUUUUUGGGGAGCCAAAGUUAAAGGAGGCUCCGCCCCUAGACACGGUGGUGUAAAUCAAUAUAGCAAAGCCAUUUCCAUUGUCAGAUUGAAACUCUUAAUUUGUUUCCUUCUAAACCAUUUUAAAAGUAAAAGAUGCAAAUAAUAAAUUGUAUAGCCAUUAAAUAAAUUAAAUAACUGACUUUGGUGGCGAGCAAAUCAGCACUAGAAAAUCAUGCGAAUAAUUUUACAUCUUUAUCUGAAUUUUCUAUUUUCUAUAUCUUCUUCUCGUCUCUAAUUCUAAAAGAAUCACCAAAUUGGCAGAUCUUCAUAAGUGGAUCCUAAUUACUAGUACAAUUUUUUGAAACUUGAAAAUCAUUUGGGGAACUACGCAAUUUCUUAUCCUUAACUAAUUAUUGCCACUGAUUCUCUGAAUUGCUCUGGAUUCUGAAAUUUUACAGCAUUAUUAUAUGGUUGUUUCUCCAAAAUGCAUGAGCUUCCUUGACAAGUCCAUUUCUUAUCAACCCCAACAACAUUGAGUUCAAUGUUUUAAUUACAACAUUUCGUUGGCAUUUCCAUGAAAUAACGCAAAGCACCUAUUAAUCGUCUACUUUUAACCAAUCCACUCACCAAUAAUUUCCAUGAAUCCAAAUCCUUGUCAGGCAUUUCCUGGAACAAAAUUUCUGCCUUGUCAACACACUCAAAUCCUACAUAACCCUCUAGCAUCACAUUCCAUGCACGAACAUCCUUGACUGGCAUCCCUUCAAAGAAUUUACAAGUGUCAGCAUCCUUCCGGCUUUUGCAGACCCUGAAAUCAUAACAGUCCAAGAAGCAACAUGUCUAUGACUCAUUCUUUUAAAAUACUCCUCAGCCAAAUCAAAAUUUUCACACUUCACAAGCCCUUCAAUCACCAAGUUCCAAGAUAUAACAUUAUUUCCUGGCAUCUCCUCAAACACAUUCAACCCACCUCCUCCAACAUUCCAUUCAUAAAAUACCCUCCAAGCAUUGCAUUCCACGUCACCACAUCUCUACAGGCCAUCCCUUCAAAAACUCCACUUGCACCUUCCACAUCAUGACCAUGCAUGAGCCCAGAUAUCACAGUGUUAUACGUAAAAAUAUCACGUUCUGGCAUUUGAUGGAAUAAAGCCGAGGCUUUGCUUAAAAAACCAUUGAGAAAAUACCCACCAAUCAUUGAAUUCCAGGUGACAACGUUUUUGCGAGGCAUUUUGUCAAACGGGUUCUGGGCUUCUUGGAUAACCCCAUUUUUCCUGAAAUUUGAGAUUUUGGAGUUGUGGGGUUUAAGGUUGGAGACUGUUGUGGAUAUUUGGUUGCUUUGAACGAAUGUUGGGGCCGAAAAAGAGAGGUGUCUGGCGAGUUUUAUGCGAAAAGUUGGGUUUAGUUUAGGAUUGAACAUGCCCAAACCCAGAGAGCCAAAGAAAGGUGAACAAGAUUGAUAAAAGAAAAGAGUGAGCAAUAUAAAAGAAAAGGGUUUAGUUCACGACCGUACUCGUGUCAAUCAAGAAUUGGCUAGCAUAUAUAUUUGCAAAACAACCAACUGAACCUCAGGUUGAAUAUGUUAAAUGACUAGGCAACACCCGUAAGGAUUGUUUGGUACUAUUUUUUACAAAAUAAAACCAAGUUUAGAUAUUUCAUUUAUUAUAAAUCGUCAUUUUUUAUUUUUAAAUUAUGUUUGGUUUCAUACAUUUUUUUAGGUAAAGUUAUGUUUCCAUCAUUAUUUUAAAAUAUUAAUAUAUAUAAUAAUGAUUAAAUAUGUAAAUAAGCUCUCAAAUUAUAUAUAAAAAGUUAAUUCAGCUCCUAUCAUUUUAUUACAUUUAAAUAAAUCAUUGAAUUCUUAUAUUAAGUUAAAUAAGCCUCUUUCACUAAUAGGUGACUAGUCAACCAUAUAAUCUGUAAUUUUUGAUGCCACGUCAUUUGCCAUGUGACAUGUUGACGUAUCAUUUUGAUGAUGUCAAUGCCACGUAGCAUAAAAAAUUGUUAACUAAGAAUUGAGUUUUUUCUUUUUUAUCCAUCCAAAUAUCCAAAAAUUAUUAGUUGGGGAUUUGGAACAAAAAACUAAAAAAAACGUAAUUGCUUCAAACUGAUUACCAUCGUUUUUUAACUAAUUAUGAUCUUCUUAAUUAAAACCACCUUUCCUAACAAAAAAAUCUAAUCCAAAUUUUCCAAUUUGAUUAAAGCUAUUGUUGCUCGACUGAAAAUUGGUACAUAGAAAUUUGAGAAUACUCAGAUACGAUUUUAAGAAGAAUAAGUUAAUAAUAGAUUCUCUCUUCACAUCUUUCAUAGUUUUUGGAAAUUCAAAACUAUCAAAAAGAACAAUUUUUAGAUGAGGAAUAGGAAUUGCAUAUAGAGAGAGGACAUUCUGACUAUAAGAGACAUUGGGUCUAGGGAAUGUUGAAGAAAGUGAAUAUUUCUUUGUGGGCAACAAUGACUUUAAUUGAACUAGAAAAGUUGGAUUAGGUUUUUUUGUUAAAAAUGAGUGCUUCAAUUAAGAUCGUAAUUAGUUAAUAAAUAAUGGUAAGCAAUUUGAAGCAAUUAGUUUUUUUUUUUUAAUUUUUUGUUUCAAAUCCCUAACUAAUAAUUUUCGGAUAUUUAGAUACAUAAAAGGGGAAAAACUCAAUUCUUAGUUAAUAGUUUUUUAUGUCAUGUUAUCUGUCAUAUGACAUUAAUGUCAUCAAAAUGACACAUCAACAUGCUACGUGACGUGGUAUAAAAAAUUACUAAUAGUACCAUUGCCUAACUUUCUUAAUCAACAGUUAAUGAAAGAGGUUUAUUUAACUCAAAACAAAAGUUCGGAGAUUUAUUUAGACACAAUAAAAAGAUAAAGAUUAAAUAAACUAUCUUGAUAUAAUUUGAGAAUUUAUUUAAAUAUUUGGUCUAAUAUAUAUAAUUUUGAAAAACUAUAUGUUUACGAAUAACUUGAAUAUCAAGGCAUUGGUAAUUAAUCAACAAUCUAUGGCCCACAUAAACAAGACCAAGACUUAGAGAAUUGAUAAAAAGAGGCUAACGUGUAGAAAGAGCAGUCCGAGAUAAGACAAACUAAGAAUUUCGCAAGAAAAGUAUAUGUUUUGUGUUGACUUUAUCUUCUUUGGGUAAGCCUGCAUCAUGGAGCGAAAAUGUUGUUGGAAAUUUUAUACUGCUGUUGAAGCUUGAACUCUAUCAUUUAGUACUCUUUGAUCAAGCCUAAAAACCUUGGGUGUGCACCAAGAAACGGUUUAGAAUUGUAAAAGGAAAAACAAACUAAUAAAGGUUAAGAAGAGACAAAGCAUUAAAGCAUUUGAAAUUGAAAGCAAAAGGUUGGAAAAUAGAGUAAUUAAGCAAUAACAUCAUAAUCUCCUGCUCUGUAGCUAUAUUGUUAAGUGACAGUGCAAACUGUUUUGCUUUUCAAAAGUCUCUUGUGGAAAAUGUUUUAGGCGUGACUGAUGGGUUAGACUUUUAAGGUGGAAUUUGAGAUUUUCACAUCCCCACAUUUUAUAGGAUAUUAACCUAUUAAUUAUAAUAAAUGCAUUAUUCAUGCACGCAUUAUGAAAAUUAACUUUAUUAAUUCUAAAUUCGCAAUAACCCUAGUUUUUUUUAUGAAUAUUGAUUAGAUCAAAUGCAGCAUUAAUUAGAAUAUAUAUUUGCAAAACAACCCACUAAACCUCAAGUUGAAUUAUGUUUAAUCAACAGCUUAAAAAUCACAAUAAAAGUACGGAAAAACCAGAAUGCAUGUAAAGAUUGCAAAUGAGUUUUAAGUCAUUUGUUUAGUAUUAUCUUUUACAAGCGAAAUCAAAGUUGAUAUCUUUUUUUUCACGAUAAUUCAUUGGUGGCAAUUUAUUACUUUUUACAGGCAUAAUAUUUAAAAAAACCUCUAAAUUAUUCACAAAAGUUUAAAUAAGUCUUUAUAUUUUUAUUGUGUUCAAUUAAAUUUUUUUAUUUUUAUUAUAAACUAAAUAAAUCUUAUAUUUUUAUUUUUGAGUCAAAUAAACCCUUAUAACUAAUGAUAGAUUUAAUUAAAAUGUCACUUGUCAUUCCAUAUCAUGUGAUGUUGAUGUGGCACAGAGCCUCCUUAAGCUUAAAAUUUUUAAAAAAAUUUUCAUAUUUUAUAAAAUUUUUAAUUUUUUUUAUAAAUUUUUUUAGUUUCCUCCCCAAAAUAACUUUUUAUUUAAUAAUUAAUGCAAAUAAAAAAUAACAAAAUGAUUCCACUCAAUUUUAAAGUUUUUUUUAUUUUUUAAUUGAUAUUAUUAUUUUUAUUUAUUUUUCUCAUUUCUAUUCUAUUUAUUCAUAUAUUCUAAAUCUCUAUAGAUUUUCUUUUACAAAUUUCUACGAACCAUCAACUAUAUUCUUGUUCCUUAUUUUUUAUGAUGUCAUGUGUGGGUUUUAUCUUCUAUUUACCACGUUUUUCUUUUUUUUAUUAUGUGAAUUUUAUUUUUUAUGAUUUUAAUCUUUAAAAAUUAAUAAAUUAUUAUAUAAUUCUUAAAUAUAAAUUGUAGUGUUGCACUAUUAUUUAAAAUUUCAUCAAUGUAUUAUUUUUUAUUUAGAAUAACCAAUGCGUUUUGGCAUGUAUGUUGCAAUUUUAAAUAACAAGAAUAUACAUACAAAUUGAUAGAAUAAAAUGAUUAUAUUUCCUUCAAUAUAAUUUUAUUUAUUAUAUAUAUUUUUAAUAGCCCUCAAAAUAAUUUUUUAUUUAAUUAUUAUUUUUAUUCCUCAUUGUUACAUCAUCAUGUUUGUGCCACAUCAUCAUGUUGGUGCCACAUCAACUCCACGUUAGCGUUGACAUCAUCUCCUUUAACAGUAAAAUUGUACGCUGUUAGAGGGAGGGACUAAAUUGAAGUAAUUCUCAAAAUUAAGAGACUAAUUGCUUCGAUUUUGAGUACAAAAACUAAAUUAAACAAAAUACAUGAGUGUAGGGACUUAAUGAAUAUUUUGACCAUUGCAAAUAGAUUCCAAGUCAUUGUUUAGUACUAUUUUUUACAAAAUAAAAUCAAGUUUAGAUAUUUUAUUUAUUAUAAAUCGUCAUUUUUUAUAUUUAAAUUAUGUGUAGUUUCAUACUUUUUUUUAAGAUAACAUUAUGUUUCCAUCCUUUUAUAUAUAUAUAUAUAUAUAUAUAUUAGAAGACUAUAUCUUUACGGAUAAUUUGAAUAUCAAGACAUUGGUAAUUAAUCAACAAUCUAUUGUCCGCACAAACGAGAUCAAGACUCAAAGAAUUGAUAAAAAAGGAGGCCAACAUGUAGAGAAAAAAGUUCGAGAUAACAAACUGUUGAGAUUGAUUUCAUAUGGAAGUAUCUAACCUAAACUUCUUUGAAGUACAAGAAAAGUAAAGUCCUGAAAUUAUACCUCCUUGAUGAGCAAGUAACCAAUAAGAAAAACUUUAUUUUUGAAAAAUAUUCUAACUGUCUUAGAAUACUUUGUUUGGUUGCCAAGAUGACCCUACAUGUGGACUAACUUGGCAGUCCACACGGGCUGGACUAAUCACGGAUCUCUGGACCGUGACAGGCACCAUGCACCAAUGAAGGUUAAGAAUUGUAGAAAGAAAAACAAACUAAUAAAGGUUAAGAGGGGGCAAAGCAUUAAAGCAUUUGAGAUUUAUGCCAAAACGUUGGAAAAUGGACCAAUUAAGCAAUAACAUCGUAAUCUCUUGCUGUAGCUAUAUUGGCAAGCGACAAUUCAAAUUGUUAUACUUUUCAAAUGUCUCUCUUGUGGAAAAUGUUUCGGGCGUGACUGAUGGGUUAGACUUUUCAUGUUGAAUUUGAUAUUUUUCACAUCGUCACAAAUUUAUGAUAAAUUAGCUUAUUAAUUGAAAAUUUGUAACAGCACUAGUUUUUUAUGAAGAUUGACUAGAUCAAAUGAAAUAUUAAUGCAUCAUGGAAAUUUUAGGCCAUCCCAUCAAAGUUGAUGGUGAAGAGAGUGAGAAAAACUAAUAACAGCAGCACAGGAGUAAAUCAUUUUGGACAUUUUCAAUAAUAAUAAUAAUGAAAGAAUAAAAAACAAUGUCCUUUGAACAAUUAUGAUGGUGGUUCAUUAUUCAAAAGUUAUGUUUAUUCAAAUAAUUAUAUUACAAAAUAAAUAAUUAUGUUUGUUGGAAAAUAGAUAAUUGUGUCUCUAGUAUCGGUUGAUUUCUCUAUUAAUCAAUUGUCUUGUCCAAUUCCUGAAAGCAUGUCAAAUUUGACAUUUUUUAGCCUUUUGAACUUGUCUUACAACAACUUGAUUGGACAAAUUCCUUCCAGCACUCAGUUACAAAGCUUGGAUUCAUCAAAGUUAUGUUGGCAACAACCUUUCUGUAUCCAGACAAGUGUUCUGCAAAAUAUUGAAAAUGGAAUUGGAGAAAAUGACAACAGAUUUAAAGCGGACUGGGUUCUGGUUGGGCAUGAAAUAUGGUCUUUGGAGAGUGUUUUGUUCUUUGGUGAUUAAUAAGCGACAAUGGAGGUCUAUAUAUGCAGUUUUCGCUUUUCAAACAAAUUUGAAAAAUCAGUAACUCUGUAAGUAUAAAAAACAGAGUUAUGAGGUUCUAUUUCUAAAACUCUCUCAGCAGCUAUCACCGCCACCCCAAUUUUAUUGUGGAUUCCAUUCCGCAGGUUCCAAGCAAAGCUCCCCAUAUACUAGCAGGAACUUCAAUCCCAUCUGCUGUCAUUUGAUUAAGAAAACUCAUUGCCUCGUCUAUGAGUCCAGUUCUCCCCCACAGAUCAACAAUACAAGAAUAAUGCUCAGUUGUUGGCUCAAGAGAGCAUUUGUUUUUCAUACAAGUAAAGUAGUAUUUACCUUGUUCUACCUGCCCAGCAUGGCUACGGGCAGAUAAAACACCGAUAAAAGUUAUUUGAUUAGCCUUAACAUCAGUUAAUCUCAUAAGCUCAAACAUCUCGAGACCUUUUUCAGCAUUUCCAUGGUAAGCAAAUCUACAUAUUAUAGAAUUCCAAGAAAUAACAUCAUGGCCGCAGAGUGCAAGCCACCACAACUUUCGUACGUAGUGACCAAUGCAUUAGAAACUGCGGCGAAAAUAUUUAAACCCACCUUAAUUAUCUGUGCAUGACUAUGUUAGAAUUUUCUGUGACGUGGAUUACUAUUAAUUGAUGAUUUUGCUUUAAUGAAAUAGUCGGAUGAUUUAAUCCAUGAAACAAAAUAUGAGAGUCAAAUUAAUAUUAAAGUGAUCAAUUAAUUAUGUGUUUUGCACGUAUUAUUACGCAAGUAUGGUUUGACGGUUGUGUAGAGCUUGACCUAGUAAACCUUUAAUGGGAGACUUUUACUAAAAUUUAUUUUAUUUUAUAUAUAUAUAUGGUUUAGGGGGUAUUCUUUCCUUCUAGCAAACAAUAUUUGUUCAUUAAAAAUAGUCAUAAACAAAGAAAAGUGCGAAGAGAAUAUCUAAUCUUAAUCAGAAAUUCUUAUUUUUUCGCUAUCAAUUGCCCCAACAAUCCAAACAGAUAAACAAUAAAUAGUUUAUGCUUUUAGUGUUUUAAUAUUCACACAUGGAUUUAGGGAUUCAACUUACAGACUCUACUUUCCGAGGUCUAAGCUUGGCAAUUAGAAGAAAUGGUUAAUAUACUAGUAAAUGUAGCUUCAUCAGGGGAGAAACCUGAUUCUUCCAUUCUGAUGAAAAUCUUAAAACCUUCUUGAUCACAACAAUCAGUUUCUCCCAACCCACAUAUGAUGACAUUCCACACAGUUACUUCUUGAAUUGGCAUCAAUUCGAAAACUUUAAUCGCUCUCCUAACCUCACCGAUUUCAAAAUAUCCAACAAUUACAUUCGUCAAAAGCAGAGAGCAAGAGAAAGGCAUAGAAAAAGAGACUGUGCUGGAUGUUCGGUUGCUUUUAAAGAAUGUUGGGCCUGAAAAAGAGAGGUGUCCGGUGGACUGGUGGUCCUAUUUGCUCAGGUUCACGUCAGACCGCACUCGUGUCAAUCAGCUAUUGGUUAAAAUAUAUAUUUGCAAAACAGCCAAUUGAACCUCAAGUUGAAGAUCCUAAAUCAACAUGUAAAACAUCGGAAUAAAACGAAGGAAAAACCAGAAUGCAUGUAAAGAUUGCAAAUGAAAUCAUUAUUAUGAAAAUAUUAUACAUAAAACGAUCUUAUGCAUUUAUUUGUGUGUAUAUGGAAUUUUCGAAGUGAUGAUUAGUCAACAAUCUGUUGUCCACACAAAAAAUUUCACAGACUCAUCAAAUUGAUCAAAAGGAAGACCAACGGAUAGAAAAAGUAGUCCGAGGUAAGACAAACUGUUGAGAUUAAUUUUAAGCAGCAAAACAUAUGUCUUGCAUUGGCUUUGUAUUCAUCUUAUAAUGCUUUUGGUAUGUCUACAUAUGGAAAAAUUAUUCAAGUUUGAUUGGAACAGGAAGCUACUUGGAAAUUCAAUUAUUCAAGUUUGAUUGGAGCAGGAAGUUACUUGGCAAUUCAGUACUAAUGUAAAGGCUUGGGCAGUAUUCUUCCGUGUAUAAAAAGCUUGGGCGUGUCUAUCCCCUACAUAAAAAAAAAGUUAAGAGAAUAAAAUUGAAGAGCAAUGAGUACUAUUUUAAUGCUUUUGUUUCUCAUUAGCAUUAGCUUUUGUAUCAUCAAUUUCAAUGAUGGUUGCAUUGAGAGUGAGAGAGAAGCACUUUUCAUGUUCAAACACGAUCUCAUAGAUCAUGCAAACCGGUUAGCCUUCUGGACUCUUAACGAAGAUUGUUGCGGGUGGGUUGGAGUUGUUUGUGACAAUGUGACUGGCCAUGUGCUUGAGCUCCAUCUUAGAAAUCCGUCAUUAUCUUCUUCGGUAAGUUUUUAUGCCAAUGAUGCUGAAUCUGAAGCCUUUGAGAGGUCAAAGCUAAGAGGUAAGAUAAACCCUUCCUUGCUCAAGUUAAAGCAUUUGACUUAUUUGGACUUGAGCAACAAUGCAUUUGAAGGUAUUCCCAUUCCCCAGUUCUUAGGUUCUAUCGAGAGUUUAAGAUACCUUAACCUCUCUAAUGCUGGAUUUGGAGGAUUAGUUCCUCAUCAACUUGGAAACCUCUCAAGUUUACGGUAUCUUAAUCUUUACGCCGAUGACAAAGAUCAUCUCCAUGUUGCCAAUCUCCAAUGGUUGUCUGGUCUUUCCUCGUUAGAACACCUUGAUUUGGGUAAUGUGAACCUUACAAAGGCUUCCAAUUGGUUGAAAGUACUAAACACACUCCCUUCCUUGGAGAAAUUAUAUUUGUCAGGUUGUCAACUUCCUCAGGUUCCUCCACCCACAAAUCUUAAUCUAUCCUCUCUUGCAAUUCUUGACCUUUCUUCAAUUUCUUUUGAGAAUGGCUUGUUCAACUUUAGCUGGAUAUUUCAUCUCAAAUCUCUAGUUUCUCUUGAUUUGAGUCAAAACAAUUUGGAAGGACGAAUAUUUGAUGGCCUUGAAAACAUGACCUCUCUUAGGCACCUUGAUCUUUCAGUUAACGCUUUUAAUUCUUCAAUACCUGACUGGUUGUAUGAUCUUAACUCUCUUGAAUUUCUUAGCCUUCGCUCUAACAACUUGCAAGGUUUAAUUUCCAGUGCAGUAGGAAACAUGAGUUCUGCUGUUGACCUUGAUUUUUCAUUGAAUGAACUUGAAGGAAAGAUUCCAAGAUCAAUGGGAAAUCUUUGUAACUUAAAGUCAAUCCGUUUUUCACGUGUGAACUUGAGUCAAGAUAUAUCUGAUAUUUUAGCAAUUUUGUCAGCAUGUGUUUCUAAACAACUUGAUAUACUGGAUUUAAGUGGGUGUCAACUUUUUGGUCAAUUAACUAAUCAACUUGUGAACUUUAAGAAUUUGAAGGAACUGUCUUUGUAUAAUAACUCAAUUUCUGGUCCCAUUCCAUCGUCCAUAGGAGAACUUUCUUCCCUAACAGAUUUAGAACUUGAUCAGAACAAUUUGACAGGACACCUUCCUGAGUCAAUUGGACAACUUGCAAACUUGGAAAUAUUUUUUAUUUCUAAUAAUUUGUUAGGGAGUGUUGUUUCAGAAAUUCACUUUGGCAAUCUUACAAAAUUGAAACUCUUAUUUGCUUCUAACAACUCAAUGUUUUUAAGAGUUAGUCCUAGUUGGGUUCCUCCUUUUCAACUCGAAAUAUUAGGAUUGAGAUCUUUGCGUGUAGGUUGGCAGUUUCCUCUGUGGCUUCGAUCACAAAAACAUUUAGAAUAUCUAGAUAUCUCUAACUCAAUGAUUUCAGAUAGCAUUCCUAGUUGGUUCUGGAGUUCAUCCUUCCAAAUUCGCUAUUUCAAUCUCUCUCACAACCAAAUCCGUGGACAGAUUCCUUAUAUAUCUAGCUUUGCAUUUUUUUAUCCUGAUUUUUUUUAUCCUGUCAUUGACCUUAGUUUUAAUAAUUUUAGUGGUCCAUUACCUCGAAUCUCUUCCAAUGUGUCUGUUUUAGACCUUUCCAAUAAUUUUUUCUCAGGAUCUCUUUUCUCUUUUUUAUGUUAUAAGUUGAAAGAGAAUAUGACAACAAAAGUUCUUAAUCUUGGUGAAAAUAUUCUAUUCGGGGAAAUUCCAAAUUGUUGGUUGAAUUGGCAAAAUUUGAUGGUCUUAGAUUUAAAAAGCAACAAACUCACCGGAAGAAUUCCAAGCUCUAUGGGAACUUUGCAUUCCCUUCAGUCAUUGCAUCUUCAAAACAAUAACCUCUCCGGAAAAAUUCCACCGUCGCUGAAAUAUUGCACAAAUUUGGU